Molecule: non-coding RNA, 72 nt
Organism: Tritrichomonas musculus
Lineage: Eukaryota; Parabasalia; Tritrichomonadida; Tritrichomonadidae
Source: the annotation of a GenBank genome assembly
CGGUCCAUAGUCUAAUGGUUAGGAUACGAGGUCUUCGUCCUCGAGGUAGCGGUUCGAUUCCACUUGGACCAG